GACGAACGCUGGCGGCGUGCCUAAUACAUGCCAGUAGAACGCUGAAGGAGGAGCUUGCUUCUCUGGAUGAGUUGCGAACGGGUGAGUAACGCGUAGGUAACCUGCCUGGUAGCGGGGGAUAACUAUUGGAAACGAUAGCUAAUACCGCAUAAGAGUAGAUGUUGCAUGACAUUUGCUUAAAAGGUGCAAUUGCAUCACUACCAGAUGGACCUGCGUUGUAUUAGCUAGUUGGUGAGGUAACGGCUCACCAAGGCGACGAUACAUAGCCGACCUGAGAGGGUGCACGGCCACACUGGGACUGGGACACGGCCCAGACUCCUACGGGAGGCAGCAGUAGGGAAUCUUCGGCAAUGGACGGAAGUCUGACCGAGCAACGCCGCGUGAGUGAAGAAGGUUUUCGGAUCGUAAAGCUCUGUUGUAAGAGAAGAACGAGUGUGAGAGUGGAAAGUUCACACUGUGACGGUAUCUUACCAGAAAGGGACGGCUAACUACGUG
RNAcentral lists this ribosomal RNA (495 nucleotides) under uncultured bacterium. Its description in RNAcentral is "partial 16S ribosomal RNA". It matches the Rfam family "Bacterial small subunit ribosomal RNA", at positions 28 to 507 of the family's 1533-position model. The record is from RNAcentral.